RNAcentral lists this ribosomal RNA (341 nucleotides) under Sinomicrurus japonicus (Japanese coral snake). Its description in RNAcentral is "partial 12S rRNA". The record is from RNAcentral. Lineage: Eukaryota; Metazoa; Chordata; Lepidosauria; Squamata; Elapidae.
UAACAAUUGUCCGACAAACAACUACGAGUUAUACUUAAAACUUAAAAGACUUGACGGUACUUCACCACAACCUAGAGGAGCCUGUCUAAUAACCGAUAAUCCACGAUUAACCUCACCCUUUCUCGCCCAACAGUCUAUAUACCGCCGUCGUCAGCUUACCUUGUAAAAGAAAUAAAGUGAGCCAAACAGUACUACACUAAAACGACAGGUCGAGGUGUAACCAAUGAAAGGGGCUAAGAUGGGCUACAUUCUCCAGCCGGGAAUACGGACAGCACUAUGAAACAUGUGCCCAGAGGGAGGGUUUAGCAGUAAGAUAAGGAUUAACACUUAACUGAAACAAC